Molecule: ribosomal RNA, 256 nt
Filed under: uncultured bacterium
Lineage: Bacteria
Description: partial 16S ribosomal RNA
Rfam family: Bacterial small subunit ribosomal RNA
Source: RNAcentral
UACGUAGGUGGCGAACGUUGUCCGGAAUUAUUGGGCGUAAAGGGUGCGUAGAUGGCCUGUUAAGUUAGCAGUGGGAAAUCGAGGCUCAACCUCGUGGAAGCUGGUAAUACUGUCAGGCUCGAGUGCAGGAGAGGUUAACGGAACUCCAUGUGGAGCGGUAAAAUGUGUAGAUAUAUGGAAGAACACCGCUAACGGCGAAGGCAGUUAACUGGUCUGUUACUGACGUUGAGGCACGAAAGCGUGGGGAGCAAACCGG